UAAUACAUGCAAGUCGAACGCUUUUUCUUUCACCGGAGCUUGCUCCACCGAAAGAAAAAGAGUGGCGAACGGGUGAGUAACACGUGGGUAACCUGCCCAUCAGAAGGGGAUAACACUUGGAAACAGGUGCUAAUACCGUAUAACACUAUUUUCCGCAUGGAAGAAAGUUGAAAGGCGCUUUUGCGUCACUGAUGGAUGGACCCGCGGUGCAUUAGCUAGUUGGUGAGGUAACGGCUCACCAAGGCAACGAUGCAUAGCCGACCUGAGAGGGUGAUCGGCCACACUGGGACUGAGACACGGCCCAGACUCCUACGGGAGGCAGCAGUAGGGAAUCUUCGGCAAUGGACGAAAGUCUGACCGAGCAACGCCGCGUGAGUGAAGAAGGUUUUCGGAUCGUAAAACUCUGUUGUUAGAGAAGAACAAGGAU
RNAcentral lists this ribosomal RNA (427 nucleotides) under Listeria monocytogenes. RNAcentral's name for it is "bacterial SSU rRNA". It matches the Rfam family "Bacterial small subunit ribosomal RNA", at positions 49 to 456 of the family's 1533-position model. The record is from RNAcentral. Lineage: Bacteria; Bacillati; Bacillota; Bacilli; Caryophanales; Listeriaceae.